This 254-nucleotide ribosomal RNA is filed under the name uncultured bacterium. Its description in RNAcentral is "partial 16S ribosomal RNA". It matches the Rfam family "Bacterial small subunit ribosomal RNA", at positions 524 to 776 of the family's 1533-position model. The record is from RNAcentral.
GACGAACCGUGCGAACGUUAUUCGGAAUCACUGGGCUUAAAGCGCGUGUAGGCGAGUCGGUGCGUCGGCCGCUGAAAUCCCCCGGCUCAACCGGGGAAGGGGCGCCGAUACGACCGGCCUGGAGCGACGUAGGGGGGACUGGAACUUCCGGUGGAGCGGUGAAAUGCGUUGAGAUCGGAAGGAACGCCCGUGGCGAAAGCGAUCUGCUGGACCUCUUCUGACGCUGAGGCGCGAAAGCUAGGGGAGCGAACGGG